Long non-coding RNA from Sparus aurata (gilthead seabream), 1871 nucleotides. The record is from Ensembl. NCBI's taxonomy places the organism in Eukaryota, Metazoa, Chordata, Actinopteri, Spariformes, Sparidae.
UCAAUAACAAAUCAAUACAUUCAUACGUGUUGAAGAAACAGGUUUGCUGAAGUUGUGCUGUUGUACUGACUACUUUAACUGUGUGGCAGCUCUUUAUUUACUGCAGCAAAGGAUUGUGGGUAUUUCUACCACUCUUUAUUCUAAACAAACAGAUAUGGGCCUGAAUAAGUUUGACCUUUUUUUAUUCUUGUGGACAUCAGGUUUAAAAAUCAGCUGAACUACCCAGGGAUUGAACCCACAACCUCCAGACUUCACAGCAUCACUUCACCAUCCUGAGCUGAUGAAUCAGUCUUAAAUGAGUCACUUUCUUUGAGCAUUUCACUUCUUUUGACCACAAAAUAAUUGUGUGAAAACCUCAAGGAUUUGAACUCACAACUUUAAACAGUGGACGCGACGUCAUCAGAUACUCGUCCUUCCUUUCUUACUGGUUCUGACUCCAGCCAGAGUUUUGAUUGGUCCAGCGGGCUGACUCGACUGCAGUCCUCCAUCCCCUCCCCCGGACAGCUGCAGAACAGGGUCCAGAGUGUCGGAAACUUCACCACCUCGUCACGCCAAAGGUUAAAGGCCACCACCUACGUCAGCCCCACAAUCAAGGGCUCGGCCUCCAUGCCGACCUCCACCAGCCUCCAGUUUCUGAGCAGCGGCGGCACUGCUGGGGGUAACAACGGGUUGGGCAGCGGGAUCCCAAUGCUCAGUAAACCACCUGGAGGUGGAGGGACGCCCACGUCAACCCCGGCCACGCCCCGCAGCGGCCUGCCCCGCCCCGCCUCCUUUGUUGGCACACCAAUCUCCACCCCUCGCAGCAAGGCGGCCCAACCAAUACGAAGUUUACCAACUCCUCCAAAGAGAUGGUCCACCCUCAGUGCUCUUUGUGAUAGCACCUGGAGAGACGGCUGCUCCUGACGAGACCCGGGUGACUCACUACACCUCAACGUGGAACAAAAAGUUCUUUGACCAAAAAGUAAACUGUUAACUUCACCUUAAAUCUGAGAUCCUGCAUAGAAUAGCUCAAACAGUUGAGGUGGUCUUCACAUGUCGUCAAUCCGAUUCUAUGCAGAGUUUCUUCGGGGGAAGGUGUGUCGUUUAGUUUAUUCUUUCUGGAUUUGUGUGAGUUUGGUCCGUGCCAACGGGGAGUCGCUCCCUGUUGCUCUUGUGCAAUAAAACCACUGUCUUUAGGCUACCAGUAAUAAUAACCUGCUGAAGAGGGCUGCCAGUUUGUAUGAUACGCGCCUUCACAAUACUGUAUUUAUCUAUCUUAUAUAUUUAUUAUUUUGAAUAAAAUGUUUUUUGACUAAUCAGGUGUUUUUUCCCUUCUGGCAACAAGCGUUAACGAUGCUGCUAAAAAAAACAUGUAAUCAGUCCCUGUUCGAUUUUUGGGCACAUUUGGUGUAAUUUUUACAAGACGUUAAAGUAUUCGUGUACAAAUCUUAACUAUUAAGUGUGCAUACAUUGUAAAUAUGUAUUGAUGCAAUAUUAUUGAAUUUUAAAUGUGAAUCUUGACCAAAAGGAAAAUGUUUGAAUGUGUUUACAAAAUUGUCUCACCACAGACUUUUCUGCAUAUGAACACUUUAAAAUUGACCUAGGGGGAUCUGUUCUUGUUGCACAAUGUAUAAACUUAGUGAUAUUUUCACGUUCUGUUUACUGACGUUUGCACUGCUUUUACUUUGUAUCUUCUGGAUUUAAGGUGGAAAAAAACUGUUAAGUGUUUUUUCAGGGGGGAUAUUUCACAGUUGCACAUGGCAUAAUGUAGCACCCUCUGUUUGUAAUAUUUGUGUUUUUUCACAUUUCACAAAAUCCCAACACUUUUGUUACUGUGAUCGACUGAAUGAGUGGAUUUUAAUAAAACACACUGAAUUAAAGAUGACUUUGUU